GACGAACGCUGGCGGCGUGCUUAACACAUGCAAGUCGAACGGAAAGGCCCUGCUUGCAGGGUACUCUCGUGUCGAACGGGUGAGUAACACGUGGGUGUUCUGCCCUGCUCUUCGGGAUAAGCCUGGGAAACUGGGUCUAAUACCGGAUAGGAGCCCUUCUUCGUGUGAUGGUUGGAAAGUUUUUUCGGUGUAGGAUGGGCUCGCGGCCUAUCAGCUUGUUGGUGGGGUAAUGGCCUACCAAGGCGGCGACGGGUAGCCGGCCUGAGAGGGUGGACGGCCACAUUGGGACUGAGAUACGGCCCAGACUCCUACGGGAGGCAGCAGUGGGGAAUAUUGCACAAUGGGCGGAAGCCUGAUGCAGCGACGCCGCGUGGGGGAUGACGGCCUUCGGGUUGUAAACUCCUUUCGCUAGGGACGAAGCGUUUGUGACGGUACCUAGAAAAGAAGCACCGGCUAACUACGUG
Molecule: ribosomal RNA, 464 nt
Filed under: uncultured bacterium
Lineage: Bacteria
Description: partial 16S ribosomal RNA
Rfam family: Bacterial small subunit ribosomal RNA
Source: RNAcentral